Molecule: ribosomal RNA, 324 nt
Filed under: Euglypha sp. (in: cercozoans)
Lineage: Eukaryota; Cercozoa; Imbricatea; Euglyphida; Euglyphidae
Description: SSU rRNA
Rfam family: Eukaryotic small subunit ribosomal RNA (bases 113-324)
Source: RNAcentral
GAUUUCUGACUGACCGUCCUGGCCCGCUUCUUUUACGGGAGUGAGUGCCGGUACGAGUUUGUCAUCCUUCUAGAAAGCCGCGCCUACCGUUCAUUCGUGCGGGCGUGUGCGGUCUAGAUCUUUUACUUUGAAAAAAUUAGAGUGUUUAAAGCAGGCUUACGCUAUGAAUACAUUAGCAUGGAAUAAUAAUAUAGGACUUUGAUUCUAUUUUGUUGGUUCUCGGGACCGAAGUAAUGAUUGAUAGGGAUAGUUGGGGGUGCUAGUAUUCAGCGGCCAGAGGUGAAAUUCUCGGAUUCGCUGAAGACUAACUUAUGCGAAAGCAUU